AAGCGGUGGAGCAUGUGGCUUAAUUCGAGGCUACGCGAAGAACCUUAUCCUGGACUUGACAUGUGCGAAAGCGUCGGGGGGUAGCAUCCCGGAAACGGGGUGCGAAGGUAUCCAAUCCUGAACCCGAUACAGGUGCUGCAUGGCUGUCGUCAGCUCGUGUCGUGAGAUGUCGCGUUAAGUCGCAUAACGAGCGAAACCCUUACCUUUAGUUGCUACCAUUCAGUUGGGCACUCUAGAGGGACUGCCGGUGUUAAACCGGAGGAAGGUGGGGAUG
RNAcentral lists this ribosomal RNA (274 nucleotides) under uncultured Planctomycetota bacterium. RNAcentral's name for it is "uncultured planctomycete partial 16S ribosomal RNA". It matches the Rfam family "Bacterial small subunit ribosomal RNA", at positions 927 to 1181 of the family's 1533-position model. Lineage: Bacteria; Pseudomonadati; Planctomycetota. The record is from RNAcentral.